RNAcentral lists this transfer RNA (73 nucleotides) under Lachnospiraceae bacterium. RNAcentral describes it as "tRNA-Thr". It matches the Rfam family "tRNA". Rfam says of the family: Transfer RNA (tRNA) molecules are approximately 80 nucleotides in length. Their secondary structure includes four short double-helical elements and three loops (D, anti-codon, and T loops). Lineage: Bacteria; Bacillati; Bacillota; Clostridia; Lachnospirales; Lachnospiraceae. The record is from RNAcentral.
GCUCCUAUGGCUCAGGUGGUAGAGCAACGCAUUCGUAAUGCGUGGGCCGGGGGUUCGAAUCCCUCUGGGAGCA